UUGCUGGCGACCGGCGCACGGGUGAGUAACACGUAUCCAACCUGCCGAUAACUCGGGGAUAGCCUUUCGAAAGAAAGAUUAAUACCCGAUGGCAUAACUAGACCGCAUGGUUUGAUUAUUAAAGAAUUUCGGUUAUCGAUGGGGAUGCGUUCCAUUAGGCAGUUGGUGAGGUAACGGCCCACCAAGCCUUCGAUGGAUAGGGGUUCUGAGAGGAAGGUCCCCCACAUUGGAACUGAGACACGGUCCAA
Molecule: ribosomal RNA, 248 nt
Filed under: uncultured bacterium
Lineage: Bacteria
Description: partial 16S ribosomal RNA
Rfam family: Bacterial small subunit ribosomal RNA
Source: RNAcentral